GGUGGGCUUGCCCGGCUUCAAGGUGUCGUCGUGGAUGGGCGCGCUCGCGCCGGUGCAGACGCCGGCGCCCAUCG
This 74-nucleotide transfer RNA is filed under the name Cupriavidus numazuensis. RNAcentral describes it as "tRNA-Ser". The record is from RNAcentral. Lineage: Bacteria; Pseudomonadati; Pseudomonadota; Betaproteobacteria; Burkholderiales; Burkholderiaceae.